Long non-coding RNA from Formica exsecta, 2387 nucleotides. RefSeq lists it as uncharacterized. The record is from RefSeq and is a predicted model, not a curated record. Lineage: Eukaryota; Metazoa; Arthropoda; Insecta; Hymenoptera; Formicidae. The transcript is spliced from 2 exons.
UAUGUGGAAAAUAUUUUUAUUUGUUUUUAUAAUUGGCAAAUCGAGAGUAUUUGCUAUUAUCUUUUAUUGUUUAACGAUAGAUAUUAUAUAUUAAUAAAAAUGAAAUGUAUUUAUAUUUUUUUAUUGUAUUACAUAUAAUUUGUCUUAGUAGGGAGACGUAGGAAGCACAGAUUGCUCGUAAGCGAGCAUACAUAGACAUCGCAAAAGACUUCGCAAAAGACUUAGCAAAAGAGAUAGCGAUGUUUAAUAUAAUAAAUUAUGUCUUUCUCUUUCUCUUUUAUCGAAAGUAGAAGAGGCAACUCUACGCUCAUUAGAGAAGGAUAGCGAGCUCCGUUAAGUAGCUCCGUUCUUUUCAUUCAAACGGACAUUUUUUUCUUACGAUAAAAAUAUAAUAAGAACAGUCUAUGCUUUCUAUGGUCUCAGUCUCGUAAGACAUGGCAUACUUACUGUCCUUGCUGAUAAGCGAUAUAUCUCGAUAAUAGCAGAACAAAGCUAAAAAAUAGACAUGAUAUUCAAAAUUUAUAAAUAUUACAGCAAGUAGAAUUUGUAAAAAGAAUAUCUGUCAAAUUAUUAAAUUUAUCGAGCCAGCGAUCUUUGUAAAAACGCCAAAAAACUGCGAAUUAAUACGGAGAUGAUCUCUCUAAAACUAUAGAUCUACAACUGUACGGUUUCACGUACAAAAAAUAUCUAUCACUUUGGAAAUCAAAGAUAAAGAAGUGGAAACUAGGAUCUUUAAAAAUAGAGUCCUACAAGUUCGAAGAUCUCUAAAUAGAGAAAUGAUGAAAAAAUCGUGAAAAUCUCUCGGAUUCCACGAUUGACUUGUCAAAAAUCAAAAUUAUCGCAAGUAACAGCAAGUCAAUCGAGGUUUUCAAGAUGAGCCGGAGUAGGCAGAGGGAGAAGAGUGGCAGUACCACGGUCGAGGGAGAAGCACUAAGAGCGGGGCUAACACUUUGCAGUCGGGGACGACGAGGCGAGUGGUCGCACGUGACGGUACAAUAUCGCUCGCAUCCUUGCCUCUUGUGCCUCGCCUCAAGACGUGUACACAGUAUGUAAGAGACGGCUGUGCUGUUUUACACGUCCAAGCUACUCGUCCACCCAUCAUCCCCCGACGACCGAAAGUGAAGAUGGUCCUCUCCACCUUCGCUAUCACAGCAAUCCCGAUGCGACCCUCCAAGGGCUCCCUUCCUCUAUCACGUCGUCCUCUCGACACGUCGUCCUCCCUCUUUCUCCUCUGCGAUAUCACCGGUAACUUUUGCAAGCGGACAUUAUGAUGGGCGCAUCACGUAGUUAAAAUUGGCGAUUUAAGAUUUAUUAAUCCAUGGAACGGCGAGCUCGUAUACUCUUAAAUUUGUUGAUUGUAAUAAUUAAGGAAAGAAACUGAUCUCGAGAAUCUUUUCAGAGAGAGACUCCGCUUUACCAUCUAAAAUAUCAUAAAAUCUUGCGGAUAUACGACUUUCAUGUAUCUGAUAAUACAUAUAUAUAUAUAUAUAUAUAUAUAUAUAUAUAUAUAUAUGUACGAGAUUAUGUAUCGCUUAUAUCUAAGGACGACGAAGACGUGUCGUACAUGUGUGUCGCAACUGCUUUCGCGAGGAGCCGAAAGCUGUGUGUCAGGAAGAGGCGCUCCAAGGAAGGGUGGUCGAAGGGGGUGGUUUCGGAGGUUGUCCGCGGAUGGACCAAGCAACGAGACGAGACGGGCAAGCUGUCCGCGUGACUAACCCGUCGCUACAGCUGGUCGCGUAUUAUCGAUUCGCGAAAAUUUCUCUUCACUCAUGGUCAUGCGCAACUUCCAUUUCCACCUUGAGAAUACGGGUCGCGCACGCAACGUGGCCAUCGACAAGAUGCGAUGGCGCGCCGGCGUGCACGUGUACGUAUGUGUGUACAUGUGUACACGUACAUGUCAGAACUGCACGGAAAAAGGGAGGCUCGACGUCGGUGCGUGCGCAGGGUGUCCCGAGGCGGAAAACGCGCUCUGCUUCUCUCUCUCUCUCUCUCUCUCUCUCUCUCUGUCAGGGGUGUAGUCCCCGGGGGUGAUGGCACCUUCCGCCAAAUGGUUUGAGAGAGUCAAAGUUUUAAGCAUAUUAACACCAGAAUACACUCGCAGUGACGAGCAACAUGUUCACCGAUGAUUCCAACUGGGAUUUAAGGGCUUCUUCGCGCGUCUGGUCCGGAUUUUAAAUAGCCGGAUGGAGCAGCUGUUUUCGCAAAAGGAUGCGCACGCAAAGACAGUUCCUCGUAUGCGUGAAUCUGAUUUCGCUUUCUUUUAAUGAUACAAGAAACAUUGUAAAUGCAAAUUCAGACUCGACAGAGUUUCAAUAUCUUUUUGCAUUUAUUCCGCUAUAUGCAUCUGUAAAUUAAAAUAAUUUAUUUAUAUAAAUAAAUUAAUGAAA